AGACGGAGGGGGCUAGCGUUAUUCGGAAUUACUGGGCGUAAAGGGCGCGUAGGCGGAUUAGUAAGUUGGGAGUGAAAGCCCGGGGCUUAACCUCGGAACUGCUUUCAAAACUGCUAGUCUUGAGUGAAGUAGGGGGUGAUGGAAUUCCUAGUGUAGAGGUGAAAUUCUUAGAUAUUAGGAGGAACACCGGUGGCGAAGGCGGUCACCUGGACUUCAACUGACGCUGAGGCGCGAAAGCGUGGGGAGCAAACAGGAUUAGAAACCCUAGUAGUCC
This 274-nucleotide ribosomal RNA is filed under the name uncultured bacterium. Its description in RNAcentral is "partial 16S ribosomal RNA". It matches the Rfam family "Bacterial small subunit ribosomal RNA", at positions 523 to 796 of the family's 1533-position model. The record is from RNAcentral.